ACGGCUCAGUAACACGUGGAUAACCUGCCCUAAGGUGGAGGAUAACCCCGGGAAACUGGGGAUAAUACUCCAUAGGUUAAAGGUACUGGAAUGUUCUUUAACCGAAAGCUCCGGCGCCUUAGGAUGGAUCUGCGGCCGAUUAGGUUGUUGUUGGGGUAGUGGCCCAACAAGCCUGUAAUCGGUACGGGUUGUGGGAGCAAGAGCCCGGAGAUGGAAUCUGAGACACGAUUCCAGGCCCUACGGGGCGCAGCAGGCGCGAAAACUUUACAAUGCAGGAAACUGUGAUAAGGGAACCCCGAGUGCCCGUAUAUGCGGGCUGUCCGGAUGUUUAAAACGCAUCCGAAGAAAGGGCCGGGCAAGACCGGUGCCAGCCGCCGCGGUAAUACCGGCGGCUCGAGUGGUGGCCACUUUUAUUGGGCUUAAAGCGUUCGUAGCUUGAAUAAUAAGUCUCUUGGGAAAUCUGCAGGCUUAACCUGCAGGCGUUUAAGAGAAACUGUUGUUCUAGGAACCGGAAGAGGUGAGAGGUACUCCGGGGGUAGGAGUGAAAUCCUGUAAUCCCCGGGGGACCACCGAUGGCGAAGGCAUCUCACCAGGACGGCUUCGACAGUGAGGAACGAAAGCUGGGGGAGCGAACCGGAUUAGAUACCCGGGUAGUCCCAGCCGUAAACGAUGUGCGUUAGGUGUGCCGGUGACCACGAGUCACUGGGGUGCCGAAAGGGAAACCGUGAAACGUACCGCCUGGGAAGUACGGUCGCAAGGCUGAACUUAAAGGAAUUUGGCGGGGGAGCACA
RNAcentral lists this ribosomal RNA (791 nucleotides) under uncultured archaeon. RNAcentral describes it as "bacterial SSU rRNA". It matches the Rfam family "Archaeal small subunit ribosomal RNA", at positions 85 to 880 of the family's 1478-position model. The record is from RNAcentral.